UCAUAUUCCAAAUACGGAGGAAAAGAAACUAACUAGGAUUCCCUUAGUAACGGCGAGUGAACCGGGAUGAGCUCAAAUUUAAAAUCUGGCGUCUUUCAGGCGUCCGAGUUGUAAUCUAUAGAGGCGUUUUCCGCGCCGGACCGCGUCCAAGUCUCUUGGAAUAGAGUAUCAAAGAGGGUGACAAUCCCGUACUUGACGCGACAACCGGUGCUCUGUGAUACGUUCUCAAUGAGUCGAGUUGUUUGGGAAUGCAGCUCUAAAUGGGUGGUAAAUUCCAUCUAAGGCUAAAUAUUGGCGAGAGACCGAUAGCGAACAAGUACCGUGAGGGAAAGAUGAAAAGCACUUUGGAAAGAGAGUUAAACAGCACGUGAAAUUGUUAAAAGGGAAACGAUUGAAGUCAGUCGUGUGAAAGGUAUUCAGCCGUCUCUGGCGGUGUAUUUGCCUUUCACGGGUCAACAUCAGUUUGAUCCGGUAGAAAAAGGCAGGAGGAAGGUGGCACCCUCGGGUGUGUUAUAGCCUCUUGUCAUAUGUGCCGGACCAGACUGAGGAACGCAGCUUGCCGCAAGGCCGGGGUUCGCCCACGUACAAGCUAGGAGCAAUCUA
This 603-nucleotide ribosomal RNA is filed under the name Vishniacozyma victoriae. Its description in RNAcentral is "eukaryotic LSU rRNA". It matches the Rfam family "Eukaryotic large subunit ribosomal RNA", at positions 38 to 609 of the family's 3401-position model. The record is from RNAcentral. Lineage: Eukaryota; Fungi; Basidiomycota; Tremellomycetes; Tremellales; Bulleribasidiaceae.